ACGUCAAAUCAUCAUGCCCCUUACGUCCCGGGCUACACACGUGCUACAAUGGUCUGUACAGAGGGUAGCAAAAGAGCGAUCUUGAGCCAAUCCCUAAAAACAGGCCCCAGUUCGGAUUGGAGGCUGCAACUCGCCUCCAUGAAGUCGGAAUCGCUAGUAAUCGCGGAUCAGCAUGCCGCGGUGAAUACGUUCCCGGGCCUUGUACACACCGCCCGUCACACCACGAAAGUUGGCGAUACCUGAAGUUGCUGGGCUAACCCCGCAAGGGGAGGCAGGUACCGAAGGUAUGGCUGGCGAUUGGGGUGAAGUCGUAACAAGGUAGCCGUAUCGGAAGGUGCGGCUGGAUCACCUCCUUUCUAAGGAG
Molecule: ribosomal RNA, 364 nt
Filed under: Candidatus Atribacteria bacterium
Lineage: Bacteria; Pseudomonadati; Atribacterota; Atribacteria
Description: bacterial SSU rRNA
Rfam family: Bacterial small subunit ribosomal RNA
Source: RNAcentral